RNAcentral lists this long non-coding RNA (3284 nucleotides) under Homo sapiens (human). RNAcentral describes it as "long non-coding RNA NONHSAT216670.1". The record is from RNAcentral. Lineage: Eukaryota; Metazoa; Chordata; Mammalia; Primates; Hominidae.
CACCCACCACUGGCUGACCGUCUGGCGGCCCUCAAAGUCGGGUGGGAGGUGGCUCAUGCGGUGCAUGGUCUCCAUCAGCUCUCGCAGGUCGGGCUGGAUCUGAGACACACACAGCGGCUGGGACCCCGACGCCGGCUCCAUCCCCUCCUGCCUAGGCCCCCUGCCAGCCCAAUACCCGCACCUCAUCCAUGGCGCGGAUCUCCAGACGCAGCUUGUCCAUGACCGUGAUGAAGAGCUGGGGGCAGGUGUGCACAUGAGGCUCGCGUGUCCACGGGUGCGGGAGGCCCCACGGCUCACGGGCCCCAACCCCUCCUCAGCCACAGCUGUCACUUGGGCCUCCUCACUGUACUCUGUUCCCAAACCCUGCAGGCCUCCUGGGUGAACGAGGUCCUGGCUGCCCAGACAGCUGUGUGGGAACUGAAGGGUGGGCCCACACCCACACUCUCUCCCGAGGCCAGGACCCCGCCAGAACGCACCCUGUGCUCAUCCCCCCGACAGGAGUCCAGGUGGCCUGGGGGCGUCCCCGCAUGCUGCCCACCCCUCAUUCCUAGUUAAAGGGGUUCCCUUCUGCCCAGCAAGUCAGAGUGCUGCUCAGCUCUGGAGGCCCAGGACCCUACGCUCGUGCCCAGCUGCAGCAGGCAGCCUCGGCUCUCCUAACCACGUGCCCUGGGGGCUGGGGCGCACCGAGACCACGUCUGCGAUGCAGCGGUUGAGGUUGCCCUUGUCGUCCUUGAUGGUGAUGGGCCGGUCCUCCUUGAUCCGCUCCAUGGCCAGCGGGCAGUCCAGCACCAGGCACUCACGCGGAACUUGCGGCAGAAUUCGUCAAUAGAGCUGAUUUCUGAGCCCUGGACCUGCCUGAAGGCAGCUUUGUAUUGGACCAGGAGCCGGGAGCAGGCUGCAGUGUACCUAGGGAGAGGUCAGCUGCUGCCCAAGCAUGGGACCAGCCCCACCCAGCUCAUCCUACCCCCUCGGCUGGUCCAGAGGCAAAGCAGCUUCCAGAGAGGACCAGGCGACAGGCAAAGGCAGGCCGAGCAAGGAGGAGGGGCUGCUAGUAGCUUUUGGGGGUGAGGCCCUGAGCACGUAGUGGGGCUUGUAGCUCGGCUCCAGGUGGAGACCCCGGCCCCCAACCCCUGCCCACCCUCUGAACCACAGCGACCAGCCCUCUGUUGUGAUGGCCGCAUCCACAGCUCAUGGUCCUGUGCGGUGGCCUGUGACGGUCUUGUCACUUCAUUGAACAAAGCCCCCCCAAAAGAUCCUGGGACAUCCCCAAGCCUCUCGACCGUUUUUUAAGGUUGCCUGUGCUGGGGGAUGAGGGUGGGGGAGUGGGCCGGAUGACACCCCAGGAGCUGCGCCUCUGCCCGCCUCCCUCACCAGCCCCCAGGACUUCCCUGGCUGAGACCCAGGGGCACCCUCCUCACGCUGGGUGGGCCCCACACAAGUGGGUGCCUCCCAGCCUGACAGACGCCUGCUCUUGCUGCCUAUGGAGCACCCAAGCCCCCCAGGGCAGGAACAGACCUCCCAGGACGUGGGCUCUUACUCGCUGGGGGAGACACAGUCCUUGAUGUAGGCCUUCUCCAGGGCUUGCAUUGUCUUCACCACCGCAAACAGCUCUGCCAUGUUGUCGUACCUACUAUGGACACUCAGGAGAGCGGGGCGGGGGCUGCAGUGGAGUGUGGUUCAAGCUGGAGGUUGAGGGAGGUUAUGAGGGCGGCAGGCAGCUGUUUGAUGGCCCACGAGGAGAGUUUGGGGCACAGGAAACAACACACUUAACAGCCCGCCUUUAAGUAGGCAUGAACUUGGAGGAACCAACAAGCUGAAGGUGCAGCUUCUCGAAAGAGGGGGUCCUAGGGAAUGAAGAUGGAGAGGUGCCCCUAGUUGGGCAGCGAGCUGUGGAGAAACAAUGGGAGCGGGGCCCGUGGGAGGGUCCUGCCUAGCACGGAAGCUGGGCCAGCUCCAGACGUUCUCUCUGCUCUCGGUGGAGAGGCCCGGGAGAGCAGCGCUGAGCCGGCUAACUGGGAGUGGACGGUGCUACCGGGGAUGGGAGAAGAGCAGAAGUGAGGGAAGGCCGCCCGCGCCGAAGCCCUGGGGCGCCCCAGCCGAGGAAGAGCCGGGAAAGGGCGUCGCCGCUCAUGUAGGUAGGGAACGUCUGGGUCAAGCUCUCCGAGGGUCGAGGCCAUUGCGAGCCGCGGGGUGGGGACCGAGGCUGCUCGGCAGCCGUCACGGAGCCGCCAGGCAGGAGAGCGCCGAGGAGCCAACCGCCCCAACCACGCAGGAGCUUCUGCCUAACAGCGAAAGCGGACGUUCUGCGGCCACAAGCAAAUGUGCAAAACAACCUCGCAGAGUGGACAACGAGCAAGGAAAGCCAGUUUCUAGAACAUGCCAAUAACGUUGCCCCAGGGACCCGCCAUCCCUGCCCAGGGCCAGAAGCCCCCUCAGCUGCUUCUCCCAUUCCCAGGUAGCCGGCCCCUCCUCUCCCUGCAGCCCAGCACACCACCAGCCCCUCUGCUAUUCCUGGGGGCCACAGGAUCCUCCUGGAACACACCAGGGAGCCCUCGUCACACGCCCCACCCUGACAUGCAAACACGAGCACCCUGGCAUGGAGCUGCACAGGCUCACCUUUCGAGUGCGGAGGGUGACGGACGCCCCCCGUUCAAGCAGCAGCUCAGCCACCUCGAAGUGGCCACAGUUGAGGGCAUCGUGGAGGGGGGUGAUGCCUUCGCAGCCCUGGCCACCUGGGUCGUCCACUGCGGCCCCGUGGUCCAGCAGGAAGCGGACAAUUUCUGCAGACCAGGAGACGUAAGCCCAGCUCCCGAUGCCCCGCCAGGACUGACUCUUCGCCCCACGUGUCCACCAAGGUCACCGCAACCUCCGCCUCCCAGGUUCAAGCGAUUCUCCUGCCUCAGCCUCCCGAGUAGCUGGGACUACAGGGUCUCACUGUGUUGCCCAGGCUGGAGUGCAGUGGCAUGAUCGCGACUCCUGCAGCCUCAAUCUCCCUCCCAGGAUGAAGUGAUCCUCCUGCCUCUAGGACCACAGGUGGCCCUGAAGCUCCUCGUCCUCCUCCAGCUGCGGGGUCAGGCCAUCGGUGUCGUCCUCUGGAACAGAGCCAAGCCCACCCCAGGGGAGUCCGUGGGAGGUGAAGGAGGCCAAGGCCGCCCCAGGCUCCCUGCGGGUCACCACCUUCUCUGUCCAGUUCCGGGAAAGCACUGGCCGUCCUGCCUGCCUGUGGCUGUUCCUGCUACAGCCCUAAGCAGGCUCCACAGCAGCACAGCACACCCCUCUCCAGC